UAAUUGAGAGUUUGAUCCUGGCUCAGGAUAAACGCUGGCGGCGUGCAUAACACAUGCAAGUCGAACGAUGAAACUUAGCUGAUUUCUUCGGAAUGAAAUUAAGUGGAUUAGUGGCGAACGGGUGAGUAACACGUGAGUAACCUGCCUUACACAAGGGGAUAGCCUUUGGAAACGAAGAAUAAUACCCUAUGACGUCAAAAUAUCGCAUGAUAUAGUGACCAAAGAUUUAUCGGUGUAAGAUGGACUU
Molecule: ribosomal RNA, 247 nt
Filed under: Anaerococcus sp. HMSC065G05
Lineage: Bacteria; Bacillati; Bacillota; Tissierellia; Tissierellales; Peptoniphilaceae
Description: partial 16S ribosomal RNA
Rfam family: Bacterial small subunit ribosomal RNA
Source: RNAcentral